This is a long non-coding RNA of Anser brachyrhynchus (Pink-footed goose), 1186 nucleotides long. The record is from Ensembl. Lineage: Eukaryota; Metazoa; Chordata; Aves; Anseriformes; Anatidae.
CUAUUUCUGGGUGUUAAAGCCCCACAAUGCUUUGGUGAGGAGACCAUAAAUAACAGUGAGAUGGUCUAGGUAGAAUUUAAACCCUUUGAACAUAGUCCUCUCUUUUUCUCCAAUGUCCCUCUCCAAGGUCGAGCUUGACAACAUUUAUAUAUGGGCAAAUCUACUGUGUAACAGGGGUGUUUCUUGCUCUCCUUUCUUGAGCUUGAUGAAGGCAGACCAUGGGGGAAACUCCCUCUGUGUCUGAUGUAGCACUUGUCACAUCCAAUCGAGUGAAUUUGCAAGUAGGUAUGUGUUAGAUUCAUCGUGUGGUUAUGGAAACACCACUUUUGGACAAGGCGAGGUUACAAACUCUACCACAGGUACCAUAAGUGUUUGUGAUCACAUACGUAAUGUCUGCCCUUCAUCUCUUGCUAAACAUAUAGAUGUAACUUUACUUCAGAAGGUAAAGAUUGCUUUAGCUCACCGGUCAGUUGCUUUAUCUGAUAUCCAGACAUUCCUGUGCAUCUCCCUCUGCCUCAAAUGAAGGCUUUCUCCCCCUUGCUUAACACAACUGAGUUUUGAGGGACAUGAAGUAUGAUCUCCUCCAUAUCCUCCAGCUCUUCACUUCAUCAAACUGGUAGGAGCCUGGGAAAUACGUGAAGAGGAUCUGGGGUUGAGACACAGCCUGGAAAGCACCAAGUGACAUAGUAAGCACCUCUUGCAUCAUAAUGCAUCCUGAAAGCACAGAAGUUUUUUGUUAAGCAGAUGUAGCUCCUCUCUCUGUUUCUCCUGUGCUUUUCCCUGGUGCUGCAAUGACCAUUGAUAGGAAGAGUUCGGUUCCAGAAGAGAGAGAGAUGUGGGUCUUCGUGCUCUGGGCACACAUCUUUUAAGAAGGCACCCCUGAGGUCACAGGGGGAGGAGGUGGGGAAGAAGAUCCUCCAUGUCUGCAUCUGUGAGGCAAACACAUCCCAUCAGGCAGAAGACAGAAAACAUAAAAAGAGAAGCAUGUUCCCCAUUUCUCUUUCCACACAGGAGUUAAGGGCAAGUUUUGAAGCACGGUGGCAAACAACCUCUUCUCUUCUGAAGUCUCACUAUCAUGCCUGGGUGAUGUGGCUGAAAGUACUUGCUUAAGAAAACACAAACUACUGGAAUCGGUUCAAAAGUCAACAGAGAAAGUCCUUCCUCCGCUGUCAGCUAGAGGUUAAGC